Molecule: long non-coding RNA, 307 nt
Filed under: Capsicum annuum
Lineage: Eukaryota; Viridiplantae; Streptophyta; Magnoliopsida; Solanales; Solanaceae
Description: long non-coding RNA (CANN_LNC011969)
Source: RNAcentral
GUGGUGGUUGUGACUUGUGAUGUGACGUUGCUUGAUAUUAGUAGUUGAAAGUGUUGAUUGUGAUGACUGAAAAAUGAAUGCAUGAUGGUUGACGAUGUGUUAGUGCUAGUUGGAGAUGUUGUUAGUUGUGACAGUAGAGAUGAUUGUUAGUAGAGAUAAAUUGUAACGAUGUUAGUGGUUGAAGUGAUGGUAGAGGUGGCGUUACUAGUGAUAAUGGUGGCCGCGGUCGAAGAAUGUGUGGAGGUUGUGAUGUAUUAGUGGUAGUUAGCGGUGAUGCUAGUUGUGAUAGAUAAGGUGGAAUAGUAGG